RNAcentral lists this ribosomal RNA (510 nucleotides) under uncultured bacterium. RNAcentral's name for it is "partial 16S ribosomal RNA". It matches the Rfam family "Bacterial small subunit ribosomal RNA", at positions 28 to 507 of the family's 1533-position model. The record is from RNAcentral.
GACGAACGCUGGCGGCGUGCUUAACACAUGCAAGUCGAACGAAGAGCGAUGGAAGCUUGCUUCUAUCAAUCUUAGUGGCGAACGGGUGAGUAACGCGUAAUCAACCUGCCCUUCAGAGGGGGACAACAGUUGGAAACGACUGCUAAUACCGCAUACGAUCUAAUCUCGGCAUCGAGGAUAGAUGAAAGGUGGCCUCUACAUGUAAGCUAUCACUGAAGGAGGGGAUUGCGUCUGAUUAGCUAGUUGGAGGGGUAACGGCGCACCAAGGCGAUGAUCAGUAGCCGGUCUGAGAGGAUGAGCGGCCACAUUGAGACUGAGACACGGCCCAGACUCCUACGGGAGGCAGCAGUGGGGAAUCUUCCGCAAGGGACGAAAGUCUGACGGAGCAACGCCGCGUGAGUGAUGACGGCCGUCGGGUUGUAAAGCUCUGUUAAUCGGGACGAAAGGCCUUCUUGCGAAUAGGGAGAAGGAUUGACGGUACCGGAAUAGAAAGCCACGGCUAACAACGUG